RNAcentral lists this ribosomal RNA (519 nucleotides) under uncultured bacterium. Its description in RNAcentral is "bacterial SSU rRNA". It matches the Rfam family "Bacterial small subunit ribosomal RNA", at positions 8 to 521 of the family's 1533-position model. The record is from RNAcentral.
AGAGUUUGAUCCUGGCUCAGGAUGAACGCUAGCUACAGGCUUAACACAUGCAAGUCGAGGGGCAGCAUGACCUAGCAAUAGGUUGAUGGCGACCGGCGCACGGGUGAGUAACACGUAUCCAACCUACCGGUUAUUCUGGGAUAGCCUUUCGAAAGAAAGAUUAAUACCGGAUAGUAUAACGAGAAGGCAUCUUUUUGUUAUUAAAGAAUUUCGAUAACCGAUGGGGAUGCGUUCCAUUAGUUUGUUGGCGGGGUAACGGCCCACCAAGACAUCGAUGGAUAGGGGUUCUGAGAGGAAGGUCCCCCACAUUGGAACUGAGACACGGUCCAAACUCCUACGGGAGGCAGCAGUGAGGAAUAUUGGUCAAUGGACGAGAGUCUGAACCAGCCAAGUAGCGUGAAGGAUGACUGCCCUAUGGGUUGUAAACUUCUUUUAUAUGGGAAUAAAGUGAGCCACGUGUGGCUUUUUGUAUGUACCAUACGAAUAAGGAUCGGCUAACUCCGUGCAGCAGGCCGCGGU